UAGUGGCGGACGGGUGAGUAACGCGUGGGAAUCUGCCCUCAGGAGGGGGAUAAUAACGGUUGGAAACGACCGCUAAUACCCCAUAUGCCGAGAGGUGAAACGAAAUUCGCCUGAGGAUGAGCCCGCGUCUGAUUAGCUAGUUGGUGGGGUAAAGGCCUACCAAGGCAUCGAUCAGUAGCUGGUCUGAGAGGAUGAUCAGCCACACUGGGACUGAGACACGGCCCAGACUCCUACGGGAGGCAGCAGUGGGGAAUUUUCCGCAAUGGGCGCAAGCCUGACGGAGCAACGCCGCGUGAGGGAUGAAGGCCUCUGGGCUGUAAACCUCUUUUCUCAAGGAAGAAGAACUGACGGUACUUGAGGAAUAAGCCACGGCUAA
This 376-nucleotide ribosomal RNA is filed under the name uncultured bacterium. Its description in RNAcentral is "bacterial SSU rRNA". It matches the Rfam family "Bacterial small subunit ribosomal RNA", at positions 93 to 500 of the family's 1533-position model. The record is from RNAcentral.